AUUGAACGCUGGCGGCAUGCCUAACACAUGCAAGUCGAACGGGGUGUAGCAAUACAUCUAGUGGCGGACGGGUGAGGAAUACAUAGGAAUUUGCCCUUAAGGUGGGGAUAGUCCGGGGAAACUCGGUUUAAUACCGCAUGAUCUCGUGAGAGCAAAGCAGGGGACCGCAAGGCCUUGCGCUUUUGGAGAAGCCUAUGUCGGAUUAGCUAGUUGGUAGGGUAAUGGCCUACCAAGGCAACGAUCCGUAACUGGUCUGAGAGGAUGAUCAGUCACACCGGAACUGAGACACGGUCCGGACUCCUACGGGAGGCAGCAGUGGGGAAGUAUUGGACAAUGGGGACGCAAGCCUGA
Molecule: ribosomal RNA, 351 nt
Filed under: uncultured bacterium
Lineage: Bacteria
Description: bacterial SSU rRNA
Rfam family: Bacterial small subunit ribosomal RNA
Source: RNAcentral